Trichomycterus rosablanca is the source of this 710-nucleotide long non-coding RNA. RefSeq lists it as uncharacterized. The record is from RefSeq and is a predicted model, not a curated record. Lineage: Eukaryota; Metazoa; Chordata; Actinopteri; Siluriformes; Trichomycteridae. The transcript is spliced from 3 exons.
AACCUGCUGUAUAACCGCAGUUAUGUCUCUUCUCCGUGUUUAUUCUUCUCUUUUAUUCAUAACACUUAGUUUUUGGGAGGUGAAGGCAGAUGAAAGACCUUACGCAGUGUUUCAAAAUCAAAACUUAGUUUUGUUCUUUAGUGUGUUAGCGGUUCUCCUGCUGGCUGUGCUCAUCAUGGCGGUGUGUGUGUAUAAACCGCUGAGAUCACGAUGAUGAAGACUUUUGUUUGGGUUUAUUUUAUGUUUUUUUACAUUUUAUUUUAGUAGUUUUAGUUCUAGUUUACUGUAGUGGCCCUAAUGGUGACUGAAUCAGAAGAUCUGGGAUGUGGGACGGGUGUAGAGCUUCAGAUGGACGACACAUCUGAUCUACAGAAUUUCCUCCAGAUGCACCUCGACUGAAUAAAUGAUUCUGAUUAUUAAGGUUACAGAAGUGUAGUCUGCACUUCCACAUGUGCACAACCAACGUGAGCUGAACAGUAAAUGAAUGUCUUGUCAGAAAUUUAGUAAUAUAUACUAAAUGUUUAUUUAUGUACUUAUUAUUAGUAAUAAUUAUGUUAAAACUACCUGUACACCUGUAUUCAAAACCAAACAAUGAACAUGUAGUACUGAAUGAAUUUAAUUAGUUUUAAAGCUGCUGUAUUAAUUUCUACACCUGCACUUUGAUUGUAUUUAUUUAUUUAUUUAUUUAUUUGUUGAUUGUGAAAUUCCAU